RNAcentral lists this ribosomal RNA (254 nucleotides) under uncultured bacterium. RNAcentral's name for it is "partial 16S ribosomal RNA". It matches the Rfam family "Bacterial small subunit ribosomal RNA", at positions 524 to 776 of the family's 1533-position model. The record is from RNAcentral.
GGCGAACCGUGCGAACGUUAUUCGGAAUCACUGGGCUUAAAGCGCGUGUAGGCGGGCGGGAACGUCGGUCGUUGAAAGCCCCCGGCUCAACCGGGGAAUGGGCGCCGAAACGACCUGCCUCGAGGGACGUAGGGGGACCUGGAACUUCCGGUGGAGCGGUGAAAUGCGUUGAUAUCGGAAGGAACGCCGGUGGCGAAAGCGACGUGCUGGACCUCUUCUGACGCUGAGGCGCGAAAGCCAGGGGAGCAAACGGG